This 253-nucleotide ribosomal RNA is filed under the name uncultured bacterium. RNAcentral describes it as "partial 16S ribosomal RNA". It matches the Rfam family "Bacterial small subunit ribosomal RNA", at positions 524 to 776 of the family's 1533-position model. The record is from RNAcentral.
GACGAACCACACGAACGUUAUUCGGAAUUACUGGGCUUAAAGGGUGCGUAGGCGGCGUAGAAAGUUGGGUGUGAAAUCCCUCGGCUCAACCGAGGAACUGCGCCCAAAACUACUAUGCUUGAGGAAGAUAGAGGUAAGCGGAACUUACGGUGGAGCGGUGAAAUGCGUUGAUAUCGUAAGGAACACCUGUGGCGAAAGCGGCUUACUGGGUCUUUUCUGACGCUGAUGCACGAAAGCGUGGGGAUCAAACAGG